AUUGAACGCUGGCGGCAGGCCUAACACAUGCAAGUCGAGCGGAUGAAGGGAGCUUGCUCCUGGAUUCAGCGGCGGACGGGUGAGUAAUGCCUAGGAAUCUGCCUGGUAGUGGGGGAUAACGUCCGGAAACGGGCGCUAAUACCGCAUACGUCCUGAGGGAGAAAGUGGGGGAUCUUCGGACCUCACGCUAUCAGAUGAGCCUAGGUCGGAUUAGCUAGUUGGUGGGGUAAAGGCCUACCAAGGCGACGAUCCGUAACUGGUCUGAGAGGAUGAUCAGUCACACUGGAACUGAGACACGGUCCAGACUCCUACGGGGGGCAGCAGUGGGGAAUAUUGGACGAUGGGCGAAAGCCUGAUCCAGCCAUGCCGCGUGUGUGAAGAAGGUCUUCCGAUUGGAAAGCACUUUAAGUUGGGAGGAAGGGCAGUAAGUUAAUACCUUGCUGUUUUGACGUUACCAACAGAAUAAGCACCGGCUAACUUCGUG
Molecule: ribosomal RNA, 484 nt
Filed under: uncultured bacterium
Lineage: Bacteria
Description: partial 16S ribosomal RNA
Rfam family: Bacterial small subunit ribosomal RNA
Source: RNAcentral